CUACGGGUGGCUCCAGUGGGGAAUAUUGGACAAUGGGGGAAACCCUGAUCCAGCAAUGCCGCGUGUGUGAAGAAGGCCUGCGGGUUGUAAAGCACUUUCGGUUGGGAGGACUGCUUCUAGCACUAAUAUUGUUGGAAGUUGACGUUACCUGCAGAAGAAGCACCGGUAACUCCGUGCCAGCAGCCGCGGUAAUACGGAGGGUGCAAGCGUUAAUCGGAAUUACUGGGCGUAAAGCGCGCGUAGGCGGCUAGAUCAGUCGGGUGUGAAAGCCCCGGGCUUAACCUGGGAACUGCAUCCGAUACUGUCUAGCUUGAGUACAGGAGAGGAGAGUGGAAUUCCACAUGUAGCGGUGAAAUGCGUAGAUAUGUGGAGGAACACCAAUGGCGAAGGCAGCUCUCUGGCCUGAUGCUGACGCUGAGGUGCGAAAGCGUGGGAGCAAACAGGAUUAGAUACCCUCGUAGUC
RNAcentral lists this ribosomal RNA (463 nucleotides) under uncultured bacterium. RNAcentral's name for it is "partial 16S ribosomal RNA". It matches the Rfam family "Bacterial small subunit ribosomal RNA", at positions 339 to 795 of the family's 1533-position model. The record is from RNAcentral.